AACGAACGUUGGCGGCGUGGAUUAGGCAUGCAAGUCGAACGCGAAAGGGUAGCAAUACCCGAGUAAAGUGGCGAACGGGUGAGUAACGCGUAGGAAACCUGCCUUCGAGUGGGGGAUAACAUUCCUAACGGGGUGCUAAUACCGCAUGAAACUGCGGGAUCGCAUGGUUCUGCAGUCAAAGGUGGCCUCUAUUUAUAAGCUACCGCUCAAAGAUGGUCCUGCGUCCCACUAGCUAGUUGGCGGGGAACGCCCACCAAGGCAUCGAUGGGUAGCCGAUCUGAGAGGAUGACCGGCCACACUGGGACUGAGAUACGGCCCAGACUCCUACGGGAGCAGCAGUCGAGAGGCUUCGGCAAUGGGGGAAACCCUGACCGAGCGACGCCGCGUGGAGGAUGAAGGCCCUUGGGUUGUAAACUCCUGUCAUGUGGGAAGAAACCUCACGGUUCGAAUAGGGGCCGUGACUUGACGGUACCACAAGAGGAAGCUCCGGCUAACU
RNAcentral lists this ribosomal RNA (496 nucleotides) under uncultured bacterium. RNAcentral's name for it is "bacterial SSU rRNA". It matches the Rfam family "Bacterial small subunit ribosomal RNA", at positions 29 to 502 of the family's 1533-position model. The record is from RNAcentral.